AACGCACCUUGCGCCCUUUGGUAUUCCGAAGGGCAUGCCUGUUUGAGUGUCAUUAAAUUCUCAAACCUCUUGCUAGUUUAUUCUAGUCUCGAGGCUUUGGAUAUGGGAGUCUUUGCUGGAACCUAUUGAUUUAGGGUUCAGCUCUCCUUAAAUGUAUUAGCGGUUAACUUGAUCCCCUUUCAUUGGUGUGAUAAUUAUCUACGCCUUUAAAAUGAUCAGCAGAAUGUUAAUAGCUUCUAAUCAGUCCCUAGUCGGACAACUUUCAUUGACAUUUGACCUCAAAUCAGGUAGGACUACCCGCUGAACUUAA
Molecule: unclassified non-coding RNA, 310 nt
Filed under: Mycena sp.
Lineage: Eukaryota; Fungi; Basidiomycota; Agaricomycetes; Agaricales; Mycenaceae
Also listed under: 3 other names
Description: partial contains 5.8S ribosomal RNA, internal transcribed spacer 2, and large subunit ribosomal RNA
Rfam family: 5.8S ribosomal RNA (bases 1-52)
Source: RNAcentral